RNAcentral lists this ribosomal RNA (91 nucleotides) under Clostridium sp. AF29-8BH. RNAcentral's name for it is "partial 16S ribosomal RNA". It matches the Rfam family "Bacterial small subunit ribosomal RNA", at positions 1451 to 1533 of the family's 1533-position model. The record is from RNAcentral. Lineage: Bacteria; Bacillati; Bacillota; Clostridia; Eubacteriales; Clostridiaceae.
AGCUGCCGAAGGCAGGACCGAUAACUGGGGUGAAGUCGUAACAAGGUAGCCGUAUCGGAAGGUGCGGCUGGAUCACCUCCUUUCUAAGGAA